This 84-nucleotide ribosomal RNA is filed under the name Carum buriaticum. RNAcentral describes it as "partial 5.8S ribosomal RNA". It matches the Rfam family "5.8S ribosomal RNA", at positions 73 to 154 of the family's 154-position model. From Rfam's summary of the family: 5.8S ribosomal RNA (5.8S rRNA) is a component of the large subunit of the eukaryotic ribosome. It is transcribed by RNA polymerase I as part of the 45S precursor that also contains 18S and 28S rRNA. Lineage: Eukaryota; Viridiplantae; Streptophyta; Magnoliopsida; Apiales; Apiaceae. The record is from RNAcentral.
UGCAGAAUCCCGUGAACCAUCGAGUCUUUGAACGCAAGUUGCGCCUGAAGCCACUAGGCCAAGGGCACGUCUGCCUGGGUGUCA